RNAcentral lists this transfer RNA (74 nucleotides) under Actinomadura sp. NAK00032. RNAcentral's name for it is "tRNA-Gly". It matches the Rfam family "tRNA". Rfam says of the family: Transfer RNA (tRNA) molecules are approximately 80 nucleotides in length. Lineage: Bacteria; Bacillati; Actinomycetota; Actinomycetes; Streptosporangiales; Thermomonosporaceae. The record is from RNAcentral.
GCCGCACAGGCCGAAAUGGUUAAGGCACCUGGCUUCCACCCAGGCGGAACCGGGUUCGAUUCCCGGGUGCGGCU